GACAUAAACCAUGCAAGAGAUGAAACACUGCCAGUGAAAAUAUGCUCCCUCAGUCCAAGUACUGUUGGAUAUCUUACACCAUCACGCUUUUGAAGAAAUUCUUGAAGGAAGUUCCUCAUUUUGAAGGCUUCUUCCAUAUAGUUAUCCUGAUUCAUAUCUAUUGUUUGUAAUCCUUCACCCCGUGUGAAUAUAAUGGCAUGAUUCUGAUUUUCUGGCUUCCCCUCACCUAAUAUUGCAGGUCCAGGAAGCUUUAUCCGAUAUAUUACCUGGUCUAGAUUUUGAACUGGCUCAGACGAAUCAAUAGGCUCAGUUGGAGGACCAGCCUUGACAAGUGUUGAAUAAUAAACCUUCUCAACCAUCUUGUUAGAAUUGGAUUUAUCUUUACUAGUUUCUUCAACCUCAUCGAUAUAUGCUACACGAAGAGAUGGAUAGUUUGUCAUGAGCCUCAGAAUAUCUUUAGCACGAGCAUCAGCUGCUCGUUUGUGAAUGCCAUAUUGCUGGCAUGACACAACAUAUGUGAAUUUCAUAUCGGCUUUUUCUGACAUUGUGCCCAUAGUGACCUUUCACUCUUUGACUUUUCCUCUCUACUUGAUUCAGCAACCUUAUAGCCUUUCAUCAAUUCUUCAUUUGUUGCCCUAUCAAGGAAGGCCUGAAGUUCCAAAGCUUUGCGGUAAUACAUCAUGCCUCGUACAGUUUUUGUCAAUGUUUGGCCUCUGUAUGAUGCCCAUAAACGAAGUUUCUCUUCCAGUUCUUCACUUUCUCUGAGUUUUUCCUCACUAACACAUUCAACCCGUUCAAGAAAGUUUGUCCACUCAUCUGGAAAGAUUUUUUGCAAGUAAAAAAGGAUAGAAACCCCAUCCUCAUUUGGAUUCUCUAGUUGAUUUAUGGAGUAAAGAACAUCCUCAUCAUAGUAAGGAGUUAGGAUAGAGAAUGAAAGCAUGUUGCGAACUUUGGGUGCAUUAGGCAUGUCCAUGAACAAUGAAUUGGAGAAGAAAGAAAUUCGCCUUCUAGCUUCCAAGUUAGAUGGCACAUCCAUAGCGGACUCUUUCACAGUAAGCAAUAGGUGAAGCCUUCUGAUUUUUUCUUUCCAAGCUUCUGUCUCUUUCACUGGAAAUUUGAGAUGACCAAAAAACUGGUACUGUUGAUCAAGUGAGG
RNAcentral lists this unclassified non-coding RNA (1155 nucleotides) under Hevea brasiliensis (rubber tree). Lineage: Eukaryota; Viridiplantae; Streptophyta; Magnoliopsida; Malpighiales; Euphorbiaceae. The record is from RNAcentral.